CAAUUUUACGAUUUUUUUUCAGAUCAAUGAUAUGAGCAAUGUACUUUCAUAUCUAGUAGGAACACACUUUACAAAAAGAAAAAAGAAAAAAACUUCACAUAGAUAAACAUGAUAAAAGAAAAAGGCACAAACAUACUGAACUCAAAGGAAAAUCAAUUUGGGAUGUUCAUAAUCACAUGGCAAAAUCAAAUAACAAAACACAUAAAAAACGAAUGGACAAGAACUGUCGCAUUCCAGACUUAAUAUAGGCAUUUUCAAAUGUAGAAAUUGUGGAUUAAACCUGGUUUAUAACGAAAUUAUAAAUAAUAAUAGAGGAAAAACUUACCAAAAGUUUUAAUUUGACAAACUAUUGGAGAGACAUGCUAAAUAGUAUAUGUCAUAAUAAAGAUAGAUUUAGUUGAGUAGAUUCAAAUAAUGUCAGUCAUUUAAACUUGAUUGCCAUCUGUAACCAACUGUGCGUUGAAUAGAAAAAUACUGCAAGUGAACACAGAGAAAAAAUUGAAAAAAACAUUCACUCUGUAAAACAGG
Molecule: long non-coding RNA, 528 nt
Filed under: Mytilus galloprovincialis (Mediterranean mussel)
Lineage: Eukaryota; Metazoa; Mollusca; Bivalvia; Mytilida; Mytilidae
Source: RNAcentral